This 497-nucleotide ribosomal RNA is filed under the name uncultured bacterium. RNAcentral describes it as "partial 16S ribosomal RNA". It matches the Rfam family "Bacterial small subunit ribosomal RNA", at positions 28 to 507 of the family's 1533-position model. The record is from RNAcentral.
GAUGAACGCUGGCGGCGUGCCUAAUACAUGCAAGUCGAGCGAACGGACGAGAAGCUUGCUUCUCUGAUGUUAGCGGCGGACGGGUGAGUAACACGUGGAUAACCUACCUAUAAGACUGGGAUAACUUCGGGAAACCGGAGCUAAUACCGGAUAAUAUUUUGAACCGCAUGGUUCAAAAGUGAAAGACGGUCUUGCUGUCACUUAUAGAUGGAUCCGCGCUGCAUUAGCUAGUUGGUAAGGUAACGGCUUACCAAGGCAACGAUGCAUAGCCGACCUGAGAGGGUGAUCGGCCACACUGGAACUGAGACACAGUCCAGACUCCUACGGGAGGCAGCAGUAGGGAAUCUUCCGCAAUGGGCGAAAGCCUGACGGAGCAACGCCGCGUGAGUCAUGAAGGUCUUCGGAUCGUAAAACUCUUUUAUUAGGGAAGAACAUAUGUGUAAGUAACUGUGCACAUCUUGACGGUACCUAAUCAGAAAGCCACGGCUAACUACGUG